Molecule: long non-coding RNA, 653 nt
Filed under: Gossypium barbadense (sea-island cotton)
Lineage: Eukaryota; Viridiplantae; Streptophyta; Magnoliopsida; Malvales; Malvaceae
Description: long non-coding RNA (GBAR_LNC001434)
Source: RNAcentral
CCACUUAAGACGCCUCUAUGCCGUUGUUUGGUUCAUGGUUUUUCUAUUACGCCUGUAAUACAAUACUAACCUAAUCGGUGAAAUCCACCGAUUUCUAAUACACCCCAUUUGCUCAGAUUAGGCGCCGCAUAGGUUUACCAUCCCUGUUAUACCCUCCCAUCUGCUUCCCCGUUUCUCUUCUGUUCCUUCUAGCCUCUGCCGAUUUCCUUGUUGGUAAGUUAAUACCUCCAGAUUUGUUUCACUCUGCUGAUUCUGCAUGUAAUCGGUUUCCCCUUUUCUGAUUACAGCUUCUUCUUCAUCGCACUGUGCCCGAAUUUGGUCAUUUACAGGUUAGUGUUUUGGGUUUUUAAGCUUUCCAUUCCUCCUAAUUUAUUCCUCUUCUUGGUUGCCUUGCCUGCGCCUAGUUAUCGCCAUUUCUGCUUCUUUCCAGGCUCCACUCAAGGCUUCAAUUUAUUUCAAAGGAAAUCCAUAUUCAUUACAGGUCAACUAAACCUUCAAUUUACAAGCCAUAUGUAAUCAUGUUUCCUUUUUUUUUUUAAUUUUGGGUCUCUGCAAGAUUUGUUCUUUUUGGGGUUUUGAAUUCUUUUUAUUGUUAUGUUUAGUUAAUCCUUGAAUUUAUGUUGUUUAGAGAUGGUGAAUUUAACAGAAGUAAU